This 479-nucleotide ribosomal RNA is filed under the name uncultured bacterium. RNAcentral describes it as "SSU rRNA". It matches the Rfam family "Bacterial small subunit ribosomal RNA", at positions 26 to 523 of the family's 1533-position model. The record is from RNAcentral.
AGGACGAACGCUGGCGGCGUGCUUAACACAUGCAAGUCGAACGGAAAGGCCCUUUCGGGGGUACUCGAGUGGCGAACGGGUGAGUAACACGUGGGUGAUCUGCCCUGCACUUCGGGAUAAGCUUGGGAAACUGGGUCUAAUACCGGAUAUGACCAUGGGAUGCAUGUCUUGUGGUGGAAAGCUUUUGCGGUGUGGGAUGGGCCCGCGGCCUAUCAGCUUGUUGGUGGGGUGAUGGCCUACCAAGGCGACGACGGGUAGCCGGCCUGAGAGGGUGUCCGGCCACACUGGGACUGAGAUACGGCCCAGACUCCUACGGGAGGCAGCAGUGGGGAAUAUUGCACAAUGGGCGCAAGCCUGAUGCAGCGACGCCGCGUGGGGGAUGACGGCCUUCGGUUGUAACCUCUUCAGUAGGGACGAAGCGCAAGUGACGGUACCUACAGAAGAAGCACCGGCCAACUACGUGCCAGCAGCCGCGGUAA